AUAAAACAGUUAUGCACAAUCGAAAAACUCGGAAACUAGCCAAAUAAGGAACUAGCAAAAGAAUAUCUUACUACUCUCCUUGGGACAGCAGAAGUCGCGCUGGCUGACCGCCGUCACCCUCCACCUCCCAAGGUCUACAAGGCCUCGCUAGGCCUCACUCCCCCACACAGCAGAACCGACAGCAGGGAACCUACACCUUCAGAGCCACCAGAAGGCAAGAGAGUGAAGGCCUCUCCUCCCUUCUUUAUAACCCUGGCCUAUGUAAAAACCAUAGGGAAUACUGGGCCAGGUUUAAGUCCAUAAUUGUAUCAAAACCUGCUUCCCAUCCACUCUGUCCAGUUCCUAGUAUUUAAGGACUUGGCUGCACACUGGAUUUUAGUCCUAGAAACACAGUAGUAAGAGCAAAUUCAGCAGAUUAUGCUGGGCACGGGAAGACAGUGCUACCACUCUGGUGUUUCAAAACAUAAGAGAACAGUACAGUUUGAGCGUCAAGCCUUCCAGUGGCCUUCUUCAGGAUAUAGCAUGAUUGUCAAGUCAAGUGAAACUAAUUUGAUUUUAAAUAUAAUACCUGUCCUGCAUCUGAUGUUAACAAUUCUCUCAUCUUGUAAGGAGAAUAGAAUGGUAAUGGAAUGGUAA
Long non-coding RNA from Chiroxiphia lanceolata (lance-tailed manakin), 636 nucleotides. RefSeq lists it as uncharacterized. The transcript is spliced from 3 exons. NCBI's taxonomy places the organism in Eukaryota, Metazoa, Chordata, Aves, Passeriformes, Pipridae. The record is from RefSeq and is a predicted model, not a curated record.